Long non-coding RNA from Ziziphus jujuba (common jujube), 629 nucleotides. RefSeq lists it as uncharacterized. The record is from RefSeq and is a predicted model, not a curated record. NCBI's taxonomy places the organism in Eukaryota, Viridiplantae, Streptophyta, Magnoliopsida, Rosales, Rhamnaceae. The transcript is spliced from 2 exons.
AAUGGGACACAUGUCGUUGAAAAGCCACGUGGUGGCGAAGACGCAUGACAUGCAAUGCAGAGAGUUGGAAGCUUGAAGUAGACGAAUGAUUAUAUUUGAGGAUUGAAACCAGACAUAUGGCGUAAAAUAAAUAAAAAAGUAAAAUGCAGGGAAGAGUGGUGUAAGUGGUGGUGGUAGUAGUAGUAUUAGGAAUAGGAAGACUGAGAGAUAAUGAUGAUGAAGAUGAUGAUGAUGCGUCGUCUAAUGGUAACAAGGGCAUCCAACCGUGCUGCCGUGCACGGUGCAAAGCUUCCUGUCACCGAGACAAUCGACAAGGAACAAGUGGACAAGGACAUUAACGAAGGCAGAGAAAUGAAAGAAAACAAGAUAAAAGAGGUGGAGAAGACUGUUGAUUCCCAAUUCAACAAUUCCCAUGUGGAUCACAAACUCACUCCUCCUCCUCCUCCUACUGUUAACAAGACUUGAUAUCAUUUACUACCUGUAACCAAUCUUGAAUUAUCAGUGACUAUUUGUUUUCUGUGUUUGCUUACACCCACCAACCUUUGCUGUCUGUAGUUUCGGAAACCCAUAAAUCUUCCUCCUAUAAUGGAAACAAUCUACAGGAAUAUAACUACGCCAAUUUCCGACCA